UAACUUUCCGCUAUUUUGCCCCUUCCUUUUCCCUUCUCCACGAAAAGGAGCCGCGCAUGGGCUUCUUCGAUAUAUCCCACGGUCGAAUCCAACGCGCGCUCACAGAUUCCUCCCGAAACCCUCCCACUUCUCCUCUUCCUCCUCCUUCUUCUUCUUCUUCGCUGAAACCCUAGAGAGAGAGAGGGGGGGCGAAGAGUUUUGGUGCUCUCGGUUGGGGAUAGCGUCGAUCCCUUGCUCGAUCGUCGAAGUAUAUGCGCUCGAAGUCGAUCGAGCGGAAGCUGGAACCGAGAUCGGGAAUCGGCGCGGCGUUGGGCUCGAUCGCCGGGUUGUUCGGAUGAGGGGAUGGUCAGAUCCUCCGCGCUGAUGAAGAUCGUGAGCCCCUGUUGGAAGCCCUCGCCGGAGGCCGACUCCGGCAGCGGCGGCGGCGGAGGCAGGGCCGAUGGGCUCUUGUGGUACAAGGAUCUGGGCCGCCACGCCGGCGGCGAGUUCUCGAUGGCGGUGGUGCAGGCGAACAACCUGUUGGAGGACGGGAGCCAGAUCGAGUCGGGGCCGCUGAGCUUCGGCGGUGCGAAUUCGCCGCACGGGACGUUCGUCGGGAUCUAUGAUGGGCACGGUGGCCCGGAGACUUCGCGAUACAUCGCCGACAAUCUCUUCCGGCAUCUUAAAAAAUUUGCUACAGAGCAGCACGGCAUGUCGGUGGAUGUAAUAAGAAAAGCAUUCACUGCGAUCGAAGAGGGCUUUAUCUCUCUUGUGAGAAAGCAGUGGUUCAGUAAGCCGCAAAUCGCUUCUGUUGGCUCAUGUUGUUUGGUGGGCGUUAUUUGUGGCGGGAUUCUUUAUGUUGCGAAUGUCGGUGAUUCUCGUGCUGUUCUAGGGAGAGUGGAAAGAGGUAUUAGGGAGGUCUCAGCUGUACAAAUCUCAGAGGAGCACAAUGUGAGCAUCGAAUCUGUGAGAGAGGAAGUGCGCUCUUUGCACCCAGAUGAUCCGCAUAUUGUGGUUCUAAAACACAAGGUCUGGCGUGUGAAGGGCCUCAUACAGAUUUCCAGAUCUAUUGGAGAUGCUUAUCUUAAAAAUGCAGAAUUUAACCGAGAACCUCUAUUAUCAAGGUUCCGGCUUCCCCAGCCCUUCCAUAAAUCAAUACUUAGUGCUGAGCCGUCAAUAGUAACGCAUAAACUCAGUCCAGAAGAUCAAUUCGUGAUACUUGCCUCAGAUGGUCUAUGGGAGCACUUAAGCAAUCAAGAGGCCGUCGAUAUAGUUAACAGCUCGCCCAGAAAUGGAAUCGCAAGGAGACUUGUAAAAGCUGCGAUUCAGGAGGCAGCAAAGAAAAGAGAAAUGAGAUACUCCGACCUGAAAAAGAUUGGUCGAGGGGUUAGGAGACAUUUUCACGAUGACAUAACCGUAAUUGUUCUAUUUCUCAACCCUACAUCUAUGACUAAGAACUACUACAACAACUCCGUGCUUUCGCUGAGAGGAGGUGGUGUUCCUACACACACACCAUAUUCCUGAAGAUUGAUUAACAUCGAUUGCUUAGUAUCGUACGAAGAAGAAUAAUUCUCUUCUUAUUGGACUCGAAAUAGAUGCAAUUAGCAAGUAUUGGAUUUGCCAUUGCCUGGGUUUCAUCCUUCUGAGCUUGGGUGGGGAGUGACAACCGGGAGAAUGAAACUAUCAGUGUGGCUUUGUUCAAAAUUUCAUGUUUCGAAUGUACUGUUGUGAGAAAAUGUUCUUCUGAUCACGAGAAGGCGGAGACGCCCGCAGCUUUUUCGACUGUAAAGAAUCUGCUGUCCUAUUAUUUCUUUCUUUCUUUCGUUCGGGUGUGAUACACAUUCUACACCUACCCUGUAAAGAGAUCCCAUUUUUGAGACCAUUCUCUGUCAUAUUAAUGUUACUUAUUACUAGUAUGUUGUGUUUAAAUUUGUUUGUUAACAUGUAAUCCACUUAUGGAAAUUAUCCCUC
This is an RNA transcript of Ananas comosus (pineapple), 1950 nucleotides long. It is a transcript of the gene named probable protein phosphatase 2C 38, with no coding region annotated. The transcript is spliced from 6 exons. Lineage: Eukaryota; Viridiplantae; Streptophyta; Magnoliopsida; Poales; Bromeliaceae. The record is from RefSeq and is a predicted model, not a curated record.